Molecule: signal recognition particle RNA, 97 nt
Filed under: Pseudomonadota bacterium
Lineage: Bacteria; Pseudomonadati; Pseudomonadota
Description: signal recognition particle sRNA small type
Rfam family: Bacterial small signal recognition particle RNA
About the family: The signal recognition particle (SRP) is a universally conserved ribonucleoprotein involved in the co-translational targeting of proteins to membranes. Archaeal SRP consists of a 7S RNA and homologues of the eukaryotic SRP19 and SRP54 proteins.
Source: RNAcentral
CCCGAGAGUCGGGCGGACGGUGCAGUCCCCAACCUGGUCAGGUCCGGAAGGAAGCAGCCACAAGGAUAAGCCCCGGGUCGUUCCGGCUCUCACCCGC